GACAAUACCACAUGCAGAUGUUACAUGGAAUACAUGCAUAUGACAAUACCACAUGCAGAUGUUACAUGGAAUGCAUGUGUAUGACCACACCACAGGCAGACGUUACAUGGAAUGCAUGCAUAUGACCACACCACAUGCAGACAUUACAUGGAAUAUAGGCGUAUGACCACACCACAUGCAGACAUUACAAGGAAUGCAUGCGUAUGACAAUAUCACAUGCAGACAUUACACGGAAUGAAUGCGUAUGACCACUUUGUGUACAGACUUUACACGGAAUACUUGCAUAUGGCAAUACCACAUGCACAUGUUACACGGAAUGCAUGUGUAUGACAAUACCAUGUGCAGAUGUUACACGGAAUGCAGGCAUAUGACCACACCACAUGCAGACAUUACACGAAAUGCAGGCGUAUGACAACACUACAUGCAGAUGUUACAUGGAAGGCUCCAUCUGACACCCCUUGGGGAGGUCCAGGGACGUUAUUGUUUCCAGGAGCUUGGAGUGCAGAGCUCCGUCCUCACAGGCUACGUUUCCACAGAUGAAGCAGACGCAUUCCAAGGCAAACAGGUACAGUUGUGAAGGGAAAUUGGGAGCAUUCACCUGGAAACUCUAGAAGUCAUCGCUUGUGUGGGAAUUGAACAGGUCAUCCAGGGGGUUCUGGCAUGAGAACGUGGUAGAGUGGAUCAGCUCUGAGUUCACUUUUUCUGACUUCACUGCUUCUACUUAGAGGGCUGAGACCGAAGCUCAUGCGGCCAACACAGUAUCUUCUGAUCUGAUCGGGGAGUUUCGGAUCCAUCGCUCUCGCUGCUGGAGCACUUGCUUUUCUAACGGGUUGGCCUCUCACGUACAAAGUAACAAAUAUCGCCUGUUUUGUCUCAUCUGUCUUUCUAUGCUUAAAUUCUUUUUACCUCCCCACUAAGAAGGCCUAUUUCAGAGUGAUGUGGGACUGAUAGGGAUGUGAAUUUUGCCCCCUUUCAUUCACUCAAGGAAUCUUUAGUGAGCGCCUGCCAUGCAAAGGCUCUGUCCCGUGCUUUGGGGCUGAGCUGCGGGGAAAGGCUGGCUUGGGAACCCCUUUCCUCACAGAGUGCCUAUCCUGGGGAUUCACAGGAGGAAGCAGAGACUAGUAAAAU
RNAcentral lists this long non-coding RNA (1128 nucleotides) under Homo sapiens (human). Its description in RNAcentral is "HSALNT0157364". The record is from RNAcentral. Lineage: Eukaryota; Metazoa; Chordata; Mammalia; Primates; Hominidae.